RNAcentral lists this ribosomal RNA (497 nucleotides) under uncultured bacterium. Its description in RNAcentral is "partial 16S ribosomal RNA". It matches the Rfam family "Bacterial small subunit ribosomal RNA", at positions 28 to 507 of the family's 1533-position model. The record is from RNAcentral.
GAUGAACGCUGGCGGCGUGCCUAAUACAUGCCAGUCGAGCGAACAGACGAGGAGCUUGCUCCCCUGACGUUAACGGCGGACGGGUGAGUAACACGUGGAUAACCUACCUUUAAGACUGGGAUAACUUCGGGAAACCGGAGCUAAUACCGGAUAAUAUAUUGAACGGGAUGGUUCAAAAGUGAAAGAGGGCUUUGCUGUCCCUUCUAGCUGGAUCCCGGCUGAAUUAGCUAGGUGGUAGGGUAACGGCUUACCAAGGCAACGAUGCGUAGCCGACCGGAGAGGGGGGUCGGCCACACUGGAACUGAGACACGGUCCAGGCUCCUACGGGACGCAGCAGUAGGGAAUCUUCCGCAAUGGGCGGAAGCCUGACGGAGCAGCGGCGCGUGAGUGACGAAGGUCUCCGGAGCGUAAAACUCUGUUAUUAGUGAAGAACAAAUGUGUAAGUAACUAUGCACGUCUUGACGGUACCUAAUCAGAAAGCCACGGCUAACUACGUG